GGGGAUUUAGCUCAGUGGUAGAGCGCUUCCCUAGGAAGCGCAAGGCCCUGGGUUCGAUCCCCAGCUCCG
Molecule: non-coding RNA, 69 nt
Organism: Rattus norvegicus (Norway rat)
Lineage: Eukaryota; Metazoa; Chordata; Mammalia; Rodentia; Muridae
Source: Rfam